GUUUCCGGUCGAUCCCACUCAGGUGAGCCACCUUGAACCACGUUUCCCGCGAGGACGCUCCACGGCAGGUGUCUAUGGCCGGUUCUUAUUGAGAAAUUAAAUUAAAACAGAGCUAAAAGAUGAUCCACGGAGAAGAGGAGAAGAAGAAAAGACAUCGGACCAACAUCCGAACGAGGUGAGUCACAUUAUCACAGAACGUUUGCUCCAUGCUUUGCUAACGCUAAUGCUAACACUUGUUCUCAUACUUGUGAUGCUAACCCUGACUCCUGAGGCUCAUCCUGCUGACACACGUGUUCAUACUUUGUGUUUGAGUUACAUUAAACCGAAUCGGAGUGGACACAAGAAUAUAAGAACUGAUCUAAGAGCCUGAUUGAUCGACCUGAGGAGGGCAGCAAUACUCUAGCCUGCCUUACUCAUAGAAGAAGAAGAUCCAUGGAGAAGAGGACAAGAAGAAAAGACGUGGGACCAAUAUCCGAGUGGAGUGGACACUCGAGGAGUGUUGAGAAGAACGAGAGCAGAGAGUUAAUCAGUGGCUGCAGGAAGUCUGGGUCUGUGAGGCCACGUGGUUGGGGAGCUGCAGGCUGCAUCGACUUCAGGGAGGAUUUGUUUGUCAGACUCUUCCUGUCAAAAUAAUCUGUCUUCAAACAGAUCCAGCUGGUUAGUCUGUUGGAAAUGAUCAAACAAAGGCAACAUCCCAAGCUGCUGAACCCAGAGGUCAACACCUUUUCACCAAUAAGGAUCCAGCUGGGAUGAGGAGGUCCUACCUGGAGAUCUGAAGUGCUCGUUUGGCUCUGUCUUCACUUCCAAGAGGGAGGAACUCCUCUGCUAACACAAGGCGUGCUCAUUCAUCUGAGUCCACAUCACACACAUUAUAAUGUGACUGCUAAGUGGACUUGUCCAUCGGUGGGGUCUGGACCAGGAGGAUAGAAGAGCAGUGUGAGAAGAUGGACGAGCACCAAACAGCAGCUUGAGCAGCUCAUCAGAUCCCUCAAAGCCAAGAGCUGAGGAUCCCGGCAGCAGACCAGAAGUAUCUCCAAGAAGAUGUCUAACAUGUACAGGUCCAUACCAUACUCACGAGUGGGCUCAACCAGGGACCCUCACUGCUACAUGAAGGCGUACCUGCACCUGAUGGCGUUCAAAAUGUCCUGUCAGAAACUGUGUCCUGGAACAGUGUUACGGCAUCCUGGCGGCGCAAGGCCUCACCGUGCUGCAGCACUACCAGACUGAAGUAGGCAGAGGAAGAGAGCUGCUCAGGAGACUAUAAAAACACAAUUUAUGACACGCAUUAGGACCCCAGUAAAGUUACCCUCAAGUGCCCCCUGUGCGAAGUAACAUCCAACAGGUGUUUGCUUAGCACAGGCUAGUUUAUAUUGAAUUGAAGUCUAAACAUAUGACAUAUGAUGUGAAUGAAAUGUAAAUGUUCAACAUUAAAGGUAAACGUUCAACAUUAAA
Molecule: long non-coding RNA, 1452 nt
Organism: Notolabrus celidotus (New Zealand spotty)
Lineage: Eukaryota; Metazoa; Chordata; Actinopteri; Labriformes; Labridae
Exons: 7
Source: RefSeq, a predicted model, not a curated record